Molecule: ribosomal RNA, 103 nt
Filed under: Bacillus sp. CN2
Lineage: Bacteria; Bacillati; Bacillota; Bacilli; Caryophanales; Bacillaceae
Source: RNAcentral
CGAAGAGGUCACACCCGUUCCCAUGCCGAACACGGAAGUUAAGCUCUUCAGCGCCGAUGGUAGUCGGGGGUUUCCCCCUGUGAGAGUAGGACGCCGCCAAGCU